AAGCACAAAGGGAUAAGUCGACGGUUUCACGGGGAAAAGUUAUUUUUAAUGCAGCAGCAACAACAAAAUGGAGGCAGUGUCCUUCUCUCCCUCCAGCUGUUUCCAUCAUUCUGCUGUUGCCCUUCACCUCUCUCCCCCCCUCCCCCCACCAGGCCUUUUCCUUUGUCCACCAGGCUGUCCCUCUGUAAUCCACUGUGUCUUUUUUUUGUAGUGGUACAGCAUGUUGCUAAGCUGCACUUUGGCCCCUAAUGGACCCAGUCAAUGGGGCGAACUGCCACCCUGUUGUAUCUAUCCAGGUCAAGUGUGACCGCGUGGUGUUUGCGUGUGUGUGUGUGUGUGUGGUUUUGGACGGUGGCCAGAUUCGAGGAUUGUGUGUACAGCUUUCCUCUUUGGCCUGCUUGUUGUUUGGAUGUGUGCUUAAUGGCGGCGCUGCACGUUUGCAAAGAAAGAUAAGCGGCUUUUGAAAGGCUGCAACUGAUCUCAGUCGAGUUUGAUGUCCAGCUAAUCCGCCGCUACGUUUGGCGGCUUGAUUCUAGAUUCCUGCAACGUUCAGAGGGCCGAUGAUGUUCCGAGGAGGAGGUCAGACCGUGCGAACAACUUUGAUUCUCUUUUCUUUCUUCUCAGCCUCUGUGUCUGUGCAUGCAGGCAUCUAUUCAGUCUCACCUACUGUUUCCAGGCUACAGAGCUGCACUCCACAGCCCCGCGCUGCUGCUGCUGCUGCUGCUGCUGUUAUAGAAAAGUCUGCUCUGCUCUCCCAGCAGAGAGGGAACAGUUCUGGUUCUGAACACAAGCACGCUUUUAUCUUGGCUCUCUGCAUUUUAUUUGGUUUUAUAAAUGAGAAGUGUGUCACUGAAUGAGAAAGUUAAACAUUGUGUGGAUAGGCAAGUGGCGAAAAUAAAGUGUUAUUUGGUGACUUUACCCCCCCAUACCUCUUGUUUUUGCUCGUGUUUUUUUUUUGUUACUUCACAGUUACUGUACCCUUUCCUGCACAGUGACACAUUUCUUGAUGUUUCUUGUCAUAAUCAGGCAAAAGGACUUUUGUAAGAAUUAAUAAUUUUUUUUUUUUAAAUGUU
Molecule: long non-coding RNA, 1073 nt
Organism: Xiphophorus hellerii (green swordtail)
Lineage: Eukaryota; Metazoa; Chordata; Actinopteri; Cyprinodontiformes; Poeciliidae
Exons: 2
Source: RefSeq, a predicted model, not a curated record